Molecule: long non-coding RNA, 1597 nt
Organism: Salvelinus sp. IW2-2015
Lineage: Eukaryota; Metazoa; Chordata; Actinopteri; Salmoniformes; Salmonidae
Source: RefSeq, a predicted model, not a curated record
AACGUUGGUAAUUACAUUACAUUACAAACGUUGGUAAUUACAUUACAUACUUUUUUGCAUUUGAGCUCCUAGAGUGUGCGGCUCUCCUUUAUUUUUAGAAGUAGCAUAGUGUCAGUUGCAGAUCAGUGUGGCUGGGUUAUUAAGUGCCUUGCUCAAGGGCACAACGGCAGUGAAUGGUGCCUGGGAGCAGAGAACAUACUUUUAUCGCCCGGCCCUGGGCUUGAACCUUCCAGCUACUGGUCCGCCUCUCUACUCUAACUUCCAUGCUAGCCACGGUCCGGAUCCAGACUCAGAACGGGGCCAAUACGGAUCCCUACAAGACGCGAAGGAUACACUGCUUCCUCCGGAACAGGCCACGACUGUAACGGCUUUCGUUGGUGGAAGGAGAYGAGGACCAAAAUGCAGCGUGUUGGAUGCCUGGAAGAAGUAGAUUGUUAUUUUAGUGAGGGGGUUCAUCGCCCCCAAUGCUUUCAAAGAAGAAUCAUGGCCAUAUAUGGAUUGACCAUGCCCCCAGAGCCAAAAUUAUGCAGUUUGCAUGCCCUGCGGAAUGAUCGGAAUAGGCGCUUGGAGUUUGUCGGUCCCCAAGUUUGUACCAGUAACGCUAGCAUUGUGUGUGUGCAACAACCGGUGGUGUGACGACCUAGAAUUACCUUGACCCGAGUUACUACCUGAAUGACAGACGUCUUCAUCGACAACGGUAAUGUGUGUAAUGUGAAAAGUUGUGUAAAAAAAAUACCUGGUUUGAUAAACUAGUAGGGUAAUUACCCAGACAAGCAGAUACAAGUGGUAGUCAUUUUGGUUGUGAUGUGCAUUAUCAAAAAGCUUUGUCCUUUUUAUAAUAAAAUUGUAUCACCCUGUCACCGCCUCAGUCAACACCACCUCAUCAGAUGAGGAAGUACAUUGUUUAUGAGGAUUGCCUGCUGCAGUUGAUCGAGAUGUCCAGUUUGAAGCUAAACAUGCAACAUAGAGAAMACCACCAAGYGGACCCUUAGCAUCAAGCAGACAUGCCUCGCUGUGAGAAUUUCUAUAAAUUGAACAGGGAGGACACUUGAAUCAGGUUGGUGACAUUUGACCUGGUCUAAGGUCAAAACAGUUUUGAGUUUUGUCCCAAUUCACCUUCAUAACCAGGCUGGUGGAACUAGCCUGAACACUGCAUUUACCAUUCUAUUUCACUUCACAUUUCGUGAUAUCUGAAGUGAAAUAAAGGUGAAUGCAGCGAUCAUGUUGGUUCCACCAUACUAAURAUAACCACCAUUGAUAAUGUAAUCUGUGCUCUGUGUGUGACCGACCAGUAUCUUUGAUGGGCCAGGAACUGAUCUAUGCUGCCAUGCCCAUCAACGGCGCACAGGCUAAAACCUCACCSCCAGCCUCUCCUCUUGCCUGCACACCAACGGUCGUCGAUGGGGYGACCAGAAUAAAAUGCAUCUAUGGAGCCGGCACUUGGAGACUUGCAAGAUGAUGUGAUGGAGUCCUGAACGACAGACAGGCUUUAUACUGAUGUUUCUAAAUGGAGAGAGACCUGCCACUCGGCAUUAACAUUUUACUAGACACAACUUUUACUUGUAAUGUGUUUAAAAAAUAAAUAAAUUGAAUGGUA